Molecule: ribosomal RNA, 253 nt
Filed under: uncultured bacterium
Lineage: Bacteria
Description: partial 16S ribosomal RNA
Rfam family: Bacterial small subunit ribosomal RNA
Source: RNAcentral
UACGUAGGGGGCAAGCGUUGUCCGGAAUCAUUGGGCGUAAAGCGCGUGUAGGCGGCUCGGUAAGUCUGCUGUGAAAGUCCAGGGCUCAACCCUGGAAAGCCGGUGGAAACUGUCGAGCUAGAGUCCGGAAGAGGCGAGUGGAAUUCCUGGUGUAGCGGUGAAAUGCGCAGAUAUCAGGAGGAACACCAAUAGCGAAGGCAGCUCGCUGGGACGGUACUGACGCUAAGGCGCGAAAGCGUGGGGAGCGAACAGG